GACGAACGCUGGCGGCGCGCUUAACACAUGCAAGUCGAACGGAAAGGCCCUGCUUUUGUGGGGUGCUCGAGUGGCGAACGGGUGAGUAACACGUGAGUAACCUGCCCUUGACUUUGGGAUAACUUCAGGAAACUGGGGCUAAUACCGGAUAGGAGCUCCUGCUGCAUGGUGGGGGUUGGAAAGUUUCGGCGGUUGGGGAUGGACUCGCGGCUUAUCAGCUUGUUGGUGGGGUAGUGGCUUACCAAGGCUUUGACGGGUAGCCGGCCUGAGAGGGUGACCGGCCACAUUGGGACUGAGAUACGGCCCAGACUCCUACGGGAGGCAGCAGUGGGGAAUAUUGCACAAUGGGCGGAAGCCUGAUGCAGCAACGCCGCGUGCGGGAUGACGGCCUUCGGGUUGUAAACCGCUUUCGCCUGUGACGAAGCGUGAAUGACGGUAAUGGGUAAAGAAGCACCGGCUAACUACGUGCCAGCAGCCGCGGUGAUACGUAGGGUGCGAGCGUUGUCCGGAUUUAUUGGGCGUAAAGGGCUCGUAGGUGGUUGAUCGCGUCGGAAGUGUAAUCUUGGGGCUUAACCCUGAGCGUGCUUUCGAUACGGGUUGACUUGAGGAAGGUAGGGGAGAAUGGAAUUCCUGGUGGAGCGGUGGAAUGCGCAGAUAUCAGGAGGAACACCAGUGGCGAAGGCGGUUCUCUGGGCCUUUCCUGACGCUGAGGAGCGAAAGCGUGGGGAGCGAACAGGCUUAGAUACCCUGGUAGUCCACGCUGUAAACGGUGGGUACUAGGUGUGGGGUCCAUUCCACGGGUUCCGUGCCGUAGCUAACGCUUUAAGUACCCCGCCUGGGGAGUACGGCCGCAAGGCUAAAACUCAAAGGAAUUGACGGGGCCCCGCACAAGCGGCGGAGCAUGCGGAUUAAUUCGAUGCAACGCGUAGAACCUUACCUGGGUUUGACAUGGAUCGGGAGUGCUCAGAGAUGGGUGUGCCUCUUUUGGGGUCGGUUCACAGGUGGUGCAUGGCUGUCGUCAGCUCGUGUCGUGAGAUGUUGGGUUAAGUCCCGCAACGAGCGCAACCCUUGUUCACUGUUGCCAGCACGUUAUGGUGGGGACUCAGUGGAGACCGCCGGGGUCAACUCGGAGGAAGGUGGGGAUGACGUCAAGUCAUCAUGCCCCUUAUGUCCAGGGCUUCACGCAUGCUACAAUGGCUGGUACAGAGAGUGGCGAGCCUGUGAGGGUGAGCGAAUCUCGGAAAGCCGGUCUCAGUUCGGAUUGGGGUCUGCAACUCGACCUCAUGAAGUCGGAGUCGCUAGUAAUCGCAGAUCAGCAACGCUGCGGUGAAUACGUUCCCGGGGCU
RNAcentral lists this ribosomal RNA (1346 nucleotides) under uncultured bacterium. RNAcentral describes it as "partial 16S ribosomal RNA". It matches the Rfam family "Bacterial small subunit ribosomal RNA", at positions 28 to 1381 of the family's 1533-position model. The record is from RNAcentral.